Molecule: ribosomal RNA, 253 nt
Filed under: uncultured bacterium
Lineage: Bacteria
Description: partial 16S ribosomal RNA
Rfam family: Bacterial small subunit ribosomal RNA
Source: RNAcentral
UACAGAGGUCCCAAGCGUUGUUCGGAUUCACUGGGCGUAAAGGGUGCGUAGGUGGUGAGGUAAGUCGGAUGUGAAAGCUCGGAGCUCAACUCCGAAAUGGCAUUGGAAACUACCUUGCUCGAGGGUUGGAGGGGGGACUGGAAUUCUCGGUGUAGCAGUGAAAUGCGUAGAUAUCGAGAGGAACACCAGUGGCGAAGGCGAGUCCCUGGACAACUCCUGACACUGAGGCACGAAAGCUAGGGGAGCAAACGGG